AGGUCCAGCCUGCCCAGUGAAAAUUUAACGGCCGCGGUACCCUGACCGUGCGAAGGUAGCAUAAUCACUUGUUCUUUAAAUAGGGACUAGUAUCAACGGCAUCACGAGGGUUACACUGUCUCCUUUCUCCAAUCAGUGAAACUGAUCUCCCCGUGAAGAAGCGGGGAUAUAAUCAUAAGACGAGAAGACCCCAUGGAGCUUUAAAUUUUACAGCAACUCAGUCAAACAAACCUUUAUAAUCCACAGAGCCAUGCAUGCCAAUUUUAGGUUGGGGUGACCGCGGAGCAAAAAUAAACCUCCACGACGAAAAGAACUAAAUCUUUAUCCAAGAGCUACAACUCUAAGAAUUAGAAUACUAACGACAAUGACCCGAUAAUCGAUCAACGGACCAAGUUACCCUGGGGAUAACAGCGCAAUCUACUUCGAGAGCUCAUAUCGACAAGUAGGCUUACGACCUCGAUGUUGGAUCAGGGUAUCCCAGUGGUGCAGCCGCUACUAAUGGUUC
RNAcentral lists this ribosomal RNA (505 nucleotides) under Zhangixalus arboreus (Kinugasa flying frog). RNAcentral's name for it is "partial 16S ribosomal RNA". It matches the Rfam family "Bacterial large subunit ribosomal RNA", at positions 1850 to 2574 of the family's 2925-position model. The record is from RNAcentral. Lineage: Eukaryota; Metazoa; Chordata; Amphibia; Anura; Rhacophoridae.